This 549-nucleotide long non-coding RNA is filed under the name Mytilus galloprovincialis (Mediterranean mussel). The record is from RNAcentral. Lineage: Eukaryota; Metazoa; Mollusca; Bivalvia; Mytilida; Mytilidae.
CAUAUUAGGUUUUUACUUUCCUGCGGUACCGCAGGAAGUUCUGUUGAGACCAUCUCAUGUCUACCCUGAGUGGCCGGUUCUGAAUUGGUACCAGUUCGAGCUUGACUGUUUUAUGAUACAUAGUAUGGCCUAUGUAUUCAGUGUGCAUAUAGAGUUUUAUGAUAUAGAAACUGUUAAUCUUUACUCCCCUGAAACCAGGGGUGAUGCGAAUAAGACCCGACGUAUUUGGGGAUCAUAACCCUCGUUCUCUUUAGGAUUUAACCUUGAGGAACUUGAGCAUCCAUUGCUACCAAUGGUGCACAGAUUUGUCAGUUAAAUCAAUCAUGUCGGCAUUCUGUAAUCAUGUCAGACCUCGUCAUUCUAAGUGAACUGUGGCCGUUAUUUCCACAUUAGAUAUUUGUUUGUUAUGUUUUUGCCUGAAACUUGAUUCUUUGAUUAAUUAAGUGACAGUUGUCAAAAAGCUUUACAUUUAGGACUAUCAAAAUAAUAUCAAUGAUUAGCAAAGAAGGCGAGACAUUUCAGCAUGUGCACUCUUGUUUUUUUUAUAAA